RNAcentral lists this ribosomal RNA (225 nucleotides) under uncultured bacterium. RNAcentral describes it as "partial 16S ribosomal RNA". It matches the Rfam family "Bacterial small subunit ribosomal RNA", at positions 1276 to 1500 of the family's 1533-position model. The record is from RNAcentral.
AAAACAACAGUCUCAGUUCAGAUUGUAGGCUGAAACUCGCCUAUAUGAAGUCGGAAUUGCUAGUAAUCGCGGAUCAGCAUGCCACGGUGAAUACGUUCCCGGGCCUUGUACACACCGCCCGUCACACCAUGAGAGUCGAUAACACCCGAAGCCUGUAGUCUAACCUUAGGGGGGACGCAGUCGAAGGUGGGAUUGAUAAUUAGGGUGAAGUCGUAACAAGGUAGC